GUUCUAAAUUAUCACAGAAUUAUUUUAACAAUCAAUAUCUACUGUUAAAUUAGUAUUUUCUAACACAGUUCUUAAUGCUUAGUUCUGAUGAUUCAACCUGAAGAGUUGCAUGUAGAUUCGAGCUGUACAGGUGCUCCAACUGUGAGUCACAUAACUUUUUCUGUGGGACUUUUAGUUUUAGUUUAGUUGCCUCCUCCACUUUAACUCGAUAACAUGUCAGUGUUUUGAUCAUAGCUGGUUGUGCUGCCCCCAAGUGCCCAAAGAAAAUAAUGAAUGCAAGUUUGAACCAACAUGGAGGAAUACAGUAAAAAAUAGCAUGUUCAGAUAUUCAUAUUCAUCCAGGAUGAUAAGUUCAACACUAUGAAACUUUUAAUCAAUAUUUCAGGUGCAGGAGAAACACAGAAUAUGUAAUCGAUCUUAAUACGUGUAGAAGAAGGCAAGAACUGGGAUGAUGCUCAGAGUUACUGCAGGGAGCACUACACUGACCUGGCCAGUGUGAGGAACCAAGCUGAGCAUGACUGGUUAGUGAUGAAUGGACAUGGGUGGAUCGGCCUCUACAGAGACUCAUGGAAGUGGUCAGAUGGGACUGCACAUUCAUUCAGUAAUUGGGCUCCCAGUUCACCAUCCAGCAGACUCGAAAAUAUUUGUGCCAUUUCAAACUUGGGCAAAUGGUAUAACCAUGACUGCAACUGACUGCGGCUGAACUUUGUUACGUUGUUUAACCAGAGACUGAACGACAAUGGACUGACUGAAGACGUCAAACUGAGAUGGGUGAAGCAGCCUGAUGGGAAGAUCUUCCACAAGGAAGAAAAAGAGGAGGAGGGGGAGGAGAAGAUCUGUGACAGGGAUCCUUACAAAAUAUUGACAUGAAUGGAAAGUUGCAAUGAAAUUGACAAUGGAUGCUUGAUUUUUGAUCCUGUAUAUCUAAGCUCAUGAUUUUCAUGCUGUUACACUGCAUUUAAUUGAGUUGCAGUGGCACAUUUAGUUGUAAGUUCAGCUACUAAUGUCAUAAAAUACAUACACACAGUGUGAUUGAUUACUGCGCUAAUUAUUACUUAAAUGGAAGGGCUUUUCUUGGUUUUCAUUUCCAUGGUUAUUUUUAUUGUGCGUGUUAGUGAAUUGAUAUCUAAUGUUGAUGAUCAUAAUUUUUGUCAAGAAAGACUUGGAAUGGUAAAUAGUGUAAAAAGUAUGGAGGUAGGAAUGUGUCACAAUUACAGAAUAAUAAACAACGAUAAAAUAAUAAUAA
Long non-coding RNA from Dicentrarchus labrax (European seabass), 1246 nucleotides. RefSeq lists it as uncharacterized. Lineage: Eukaryota; Metazoa; Chordata; Actinopteri; Moronidae. The transcript has 2 exons. The record is from RefSeq and is a predicted model, not a curated record.